RNAcentral lists this ribosomal RNA (432 nucleotides) under uncultured bacterium. Its description in RNAcentral is "partial 16S ribosomal RNA". It matches the Rfam family "Bacterial small subunit ribosomal RNA", at positions 29 to 507 of the family's 1533-position model. The record is from RNAcentral.
ACGCACGCUGGCGGCAUGCCUCACACCUGCAAGUCGAACGCGACCUUCGGGUCUAGUGGCGCACGGGUGCGUCACGCGUGGGAACCUGCCCUUAGGUUCGGAAUAACUCCCCGAAAGGGGUGCUAAUACCGGAUAAUGUCUUCGGACCAAAGAUUUAUCGCCUUUGGAUGGGCCCGCGUUGGAUUAGCUAGUUGGUAGGGUAAAAGCCUACCAAGGCGACGAUCCAUAGCUGGUCUGAGAGGAUGAUCAGCCACACUGGGACUGAGACACGGCCCAGACUCCUACGGGAGGCAGCAGUGGGGAAUAUUGGACAAUGGGCGAAAGCCUGAUCCAGCAAUGCCGCGUGAGUGAUGAAGGCCUUAGGGUUGUAAAGCUCUUUUACCCGGGAUGAUAAUGACAGUACCGGGAGAAUAAGCUCCGGCUAACUCCGUG